CAUAGCAGCAGAAGAGCCCUAUUCUGUUGUCUCCAAAGCAUAAAGAGAAAACAGCCAAACCGCUUCAUUCACCUUUUUCAUCUCAGAAGCUAGCAUCAUGUCGUGGCAGGCAUACGUUGAUGACAGCCUUAUCGGCAGCGGCAACAUGCACAGCGCUGCUAUUAUUGGAGCCGCUGAUGGCAGCUACUGGGCGUAUGGCGGUAGCUACGUUCCGCAGCCGGAAGAGGUGCAGCACAUCCAGAAGUGCUUGUCCGACUUCUCGCUCGUGCAGUCCUCUGGUGUGAAUAUUUACGGUGUCAAGUUCUUCGGCCUCCAGUGCGGCACCGACGGCGACUGCAAGUACAUCUUUUUCAAGAAAGGUGCAGCCGGCGGGUGCAUUUACACGACGAAGCAGGCAUUCAUCGUUGCCGUAUAUGGGAACCCCGGUGACACCUCCUCGCUUCAGCAGGAUCUUGAGAAGAACACGGCUCACACGGUCACCGUGAACCCUGCGGACUGCAACACUACAGUGAAGCGCAUAGCGGAUUACCUCAUUAAGCUUGGCUACUAAUUACCAGCGGUGUAUCUUACAAAAGAGAGGAAAGUCACUCAAGCCGAAAGAAUAGUAUUUUAGGGCGUCGCAAGAGCGGACGCGUGCGAUACUGCAUGGACGUUGCCUGAACUACUCGUUACAUGCAUUUAGACACUGCAUGCGUCGCAACUACCCAUCUGUUUACCUCACGCUAUCCCCUCCUCCUUUUUCCACUGUGACACUAUUCUGCCCUCCUUCGCUGGUUUCACCUGCGUGCUUUGAUGUUCGACCCUUCUCUGCGCUCUCGAUGGGCAUGCGAUGCUCCGGUAG
RNAcentral lists this unclassified non-coding RNA (841 nucleotides) under Leishmania donovani. RNAcentral describes it as "gene:LdHU3.32.0680(CDS-product:profilin_putative)". Lineage: Eukaryota; Euglenozoa; Kinetoplastea; Trypanosomatida; Trypanosomatidae. The record is from RNAcentral.